This 348-nucleotide ribosomal RNA is filed under the name uncultured bacterium. RNAcentral's name for it is "bacterial SSU rRNA". It matches the Rfam family "Bacterial small subunit ribosomal RNA", at positions 61 to 399 of the family's 1533-position model. The record is from RNAcentral.
AUCGUUCGGAAAGGCUCCUUCGGGAGGUACUCGAGCGGGAACGGGUGAGUAACACGUGGACAACAACCCUUCACAUCGGGAUACCCCGGGGAAACUCGGAUCAAUACCGGGAUAAUGCGCGACGCUGUUGGGCGUCGCACCAAAGGUAGCUUCGGCCUCUGGUGAAGGACGGGUCCGCGGCCCAUUAGCUUGUUGGUGGGGUCAAUGGCCUACCAAGGCAACGAUGGGUAGCUGGUCUGAGAGGAUGAUCAGCCACACUGGGACUGAGAUACGGCCCAGAUUCCUACGGGAGGCAGCAGUGGGGAAUAUUGCGCAAUGGGCGGAAGGCCUGACGCAGAAACGCCGGAG